CCCUUCUUCUUCCCGACUUAUUCUUUUAUUAUUAUGAGGCUGACUUUAUACAGAAACUUCUUAUGAAGAAAGAUAAGAAGUUAGCAAUAUCCCUUAAUUUUACUUUCCGCUAUAUAGUUAAUGUUCUCCAACUAAAUAAUUCAAAAUUUGGUGACUAUGUUGAACGCAUCUAUCCCAUCGAACUAGAGAUAAAGAAACAUACAGCAUAUACAGUUAAGUCUGCCUCAUAUGUUACUUACAUAUAGAAAUUUACAAUGAGGGUCCGUUGAAAACAAAAC
This 278-nucleotide long non-coding RNA is filed under the name Mytilus galloprovincialis (Mediterranean mussel). The record is from RNAcentral. Lineage: Eukaryota; Metazoa; Mollusca; Bivalvia; Mytilida; Mytilidae.